This 484-nucleotide ribosomal RNA is filed under the name uncultured bacterium. RNAcentral's name for it is "partial 16S ribosomal RNA". It matches the Rfam family "Bacterial small subunit ribosomal RNA", at positions 30 to 507 of the family's 1533-position model. The record is from RNAcentral.
AUUGAACGCUGGCGGCAGGCCUAACACAUGCAAGUCGAGCGGAUGAAGGGAGCUUGCUCCUGGAUUCAGCGGCGGACGGGUGAGUAAUGCCUAGGAAUCUGCCUGGUAGUGGGGGAUAACGUCCGGAAACGGGCGCUAAUACCGCAUACGUCCUGAGGGAGAAAGUGGGGGAUCUUCGGACCUCACGCUAUCAGAUGAGCCUAGGUCGGAUUAGCUAGUUGGUGGGGUAAAGGCCUACCAAGGCGACGAUCCGUAACUGGUCUGAGAGGAUGAUCAGUCACACUGGAACUGAGACACGGUCCAGACUCCUACGGGAGGCAGCAGUGGGGAAUAUUGGACAAAGGGCGAAAGCCUGAUCCAGCCAUGCCGCGUGUGUGAAGAAGGUCUUCGGAUUGUAAAGCACUUUAAGUUGGGAGGAAGGGCAGUAAGUUAAUACCUUGCUGUUUUGACGUUACCAAAAGAAUAAGCACCGGCUAACUUCGUG